GUACGAUUUUGAUCGUAACUUCAUACCCGCUUUCACAAAACCAGCACGUAUGUCAUUGUUAAGGGAGUGGAGUUCACGUGUGAUGAAUCCCCGAUCUUCC
Long non-coding RNA from Ornithodoros turicata, 100 nucleotides. RefSeq lists it as uncharacterized. The transcript has 3 exons. NCBI's taxonomy places the organism in Eukaryota, Metazoa, Arthropoda, Arachnida, Ixodida, Argasidae. The record is from RefSeq and is a predicted model, not a curated record.